UUUCGCCUACGGGGGGCAGCAGUGGGGGACAUUGGACAAUGGGGGGAACCCUGAUCCAGCGACGCCGCGUGAGUGAAGAAGUAUUUCGGUAUGUAAAGCUCUGUCAGCAGGGAAGAAAGAAAUGACGGUACCUGACCACGAAGCCCCGCCUAACUACGUGCCAGCAGCCGCGGUAAUACGUAUGGUGCACGCGUUAUCCGGAAUGACUGGGUGUAAAGGGAGCGUAGACGGUUGUACAAGUCUGAUGUGAAAGCCCACGGCUCAACUGUGGGAGUGCAUUGGAAACUG
This 288-nucleotide ribosomal RNA is filed under the name uncultured bacterium. Its description in RNAcentral is "partial 16S ribosomal RNA". It matches the Rfam family "Bacterial small subunit ribosomal RNA", at positions 333 to 635 of the family's 1533-position model. The record is from RNAcentral.